CGAGUUUCCCAGGUGAUCGCGGUCGGCGCGCCGACGUUCCCGCGCAAGCGGGGGCCGAGGCCGUCGGUCGAGGAAAGUCCGAACUCCACAGGGCAGGGUGCUGGGUAACUCCCAGGGGGCGCGAGCCCACGGAAAGUGCAACAGAGAGCAGACCGCCAACGGGCGUCGCGAUUCGCGCAAGCGGAGCGCGCGCUGCGGGCAAGGGUGAAACGGUGCGGUAAGAGCGCACCAGCGGUCCCGGUGACGGGGCCGGCUCGGUAAACCCCACCUGGAGCAAGACCGCAUAGAGGGGGAGGAGUGUGACCCGCUCCGUUACCACCCCAGGGUCGGUCGCACGAGGCGUCCGGAAACGAACGCCCCAGAUGAAUGAUCACCACGGAGUGAUCCGACAGAAUUCGGCUUACGGGAAACUCGGUGU
This 418-nucleotide RNase P RNA is filed under the name Candidatus Eiseniibacteriota bacterium. RNAcentral describes it as "RNase P RNA component class A". It matches the Rfam family "Bacterial RNase P class A". From Rfam's summary of the family: Ribonuclease P (RNase P) is a ubiquitous endoribonuclease, found in archaea, bacteria and eukarya as well as chloroplasts and mitochondria. Lineage: Bacteria; Candidatus Eiseniibacteriota. The record is from RNAcentral.